AGAGUUUGAUCCUGGCUCAGGAUGAACGCUAGCUACAGGCUUAACACAUGCAAGUCGAGGGGCAGCAUUUCAGUUUGCUUGCAAACUGGAGAUGGCGACCGGCGCACGGGUGAGUAACACGUAUCCAACCUGCCGAUAACUCGGGGAUAGCCUUUCGAAAGAAAGAUUAAUACCCGAUGGUAUAAUCAGACCGCAUGGUCUUGUUAUUAAAGAAUUUCGGUUAUCGAUGGGGAUGCGUUCCAUUAGGCAGUUGGUGAGGUAACGGCUCACCAAACCUUCGAUGGAUAGGGGUUCUGAGAGGAAGGUCCCCCACAUUGGAACUGAGACACGGUCCAAACUCCUACGGGAGGCAGCAGUGAGGAAUAUUGGUCAAUGGACGCGAGUCUGAACCAGCCAAGUAGCGUGAAGGAUGACUGCCCUAUGGGUUGUAAACUUCUUUUAUAUGGGAAUAAAGUUUUCCACGUGUGGAAUUUUGUAUGUACCAUAUGAAUAAGGAUCGGCUAACUCCGUGCCAGCAGCCGCGGUAAUACGGAGGAUCCGAGGGUUAUCCGGAUUUAUUGGGUUUAAAGGGAGCGUAGGUGGACAGUUAAGUCAGUUGUGAAAGUUUGCGGCUCAACCGUAAAAUUGCAGUUGAUACUGGCUGUCUUGAGUACAGUAGAGGUGGGCGGAAUUCGUGGUGUAGCGGUGAAAUGCUUAGAUAUCACGAAGAACUCCGAUUGCGAAGGCAGCUCACUGGACUGCAACUGACACUGAUGCUCGAAAGUGUGGGUAUCAAACAGGAUUAGAUACCCUGGUAGUCCACACAGUAAACGAUGAAUACUCGCUGUUUGCGAUAUACAGUAAGCGGCCAAGCGAAAGCAUUAAGUAUUCCACCUGUGGAGUACGCCGGCAACGGUGAAACUCAAAGGAAUUGACGGGGGCCCGCACAAGCGGAGGAACAUGUGGUUUAAUUCGAUGAUACGCGAGGAACCUUACCCGGGCUUAAAUUGCAUUUGAAUAUAUUGGAAACAGUAUAGCCGUAAGGCAAAUGUGAAGGUGCUGCAUGGUUGUCGUCAGCUCGUGCCGUGAGGUGUCGGCUUAAGUGCCAUAACGAGCGCAACCCUUAUCUUUAGUUACUAACAGGUCAUGCUGAGGACUCUAGAGAGACUGCCGUCGUAAGAUGUGAGGAAGGUGGGGAUGACGUCAAAUCAGCACGGCCCUUACGUCCGGGGCUACACACGUGUUACAAUGGGGGGUACAGAAGGCAGCUACCUGGUGACAGGAUGCUAAUCCCAAAAGCCUCUCUCAGUUCGGAUCGAAGUCUGCAACCCGACUUCGUGAAGCUGGAUUCGCUAGUAAUCGCGCAUCAGCCAUGGCGCGGUGAAUACGUUCCCGGGCCUUGUACACACCGCCCGUCAAGCCAUGAAAGCCGGGGGUACCUGAAGUACGUAACCGCAAGGAGCGUCCUAGGGUAAAACUGGUAAUUGGGGCUAAGUCGUAACAAGGUA
RNAcentral lists this ribosomal RNA (1487 nucleotides) under metagenome. RNAcentral describes it as "bacterial SSU rRNA". It matches the Rfam family "Bacterial small subunit ribosomal RNA". The record is from RNAcentral.